CUUUGUUUUCUACUUGUUUGUUUAAAUCUCGAAAGCCUAACUAAUGUUCUUACAUGGCCAGAACGAUAAGUAUAUAGUGAAAUAGAAUCUCAUAAACAUUAAGUCCGUCUACAACAUUUCCCAACUGUGAUAACAUCUUUAUACAAUCUAUUUUAUAUAUGUAUUCUUUUAAUUUAUAUACACUGUGAUACAUUUUUUGUUGUAUAGUUCUACAACAGAGCACUGCUAUUGCUAUGAAAUCUAUAUUAUAGUUAUAAGGGCCCUUAUUGAAUGAUUGACGGACCUAUCAUUACUGCUCUACAGCGUAUCAAUCUACAUGAAGCUUAAUAUGCCUGGUCCAAUCUACCUUGUGUACCCGUGAGGGAGGCAGUGGCGUAGCUAUAAAUUUGCCAUCAUCUGAGGGUCCGGGGAGUUUGACCUUUUGUGAUAAAACGCAUUUAUUUGCUCGAAAUGGGUUUUGAGCUUGGGCCCCUACGCCAUGUAGCGAAGCGGUAUUCGCCACUCAGUCGCACAUCUUAAUUCAUAAAAGUGCCCUCUACUUUGUAAAUAAUAUAUUGUUCUACAGUUAAUAUAACAUGAAAGUCGCUAUAGUUUAUAUAUUAAUAUCUAGUUUUUUCUGUACACUAUUUAUUAAUACUGCUGUUUAUUUCAUCCAUUAAUAUGAAAAAUAAAACUCGAAUUACGUACCAAUUAC
Molecule: non-coding RNA, 694 nt
Organism: Biomphalaria pfeifferi
Lineage: Eukaryota; Metazoa; Mollusca; Gastropoda; Planorbidae
Source: the annotation of a GenBank genome assembly